ACAGGUGCGUAACGCGUGGGAAUCUGCCCUUGGGUUCGGAAUAACAGUUAGAAAUGACUGCUAAUACCGGAUGAUGUCUUCGGACCAAAGAUUUAUCGCCCAGGGAUGAGCCCGCGUAGGAUUAGGUAGUUGGUGGGGUAAUGGCCCACCAAGCCGACGAUCCUUAGCUGGUCUGAGAGGAUGAUCAGCCACACUGGGACUGAGACACGGCCCAGACUCCUACGGGAGGCAGCAGUGGGGAAUAUUGGACAAUGGGCGAAAGCCUGAUCCAGCAAUGCCGCGUGAGUGAUGAAGGCCUUAGGGUUGUAAAGCUCUUUUACCAGGGAUGAUAAUGACAGUACCUGGAGAAUAAGCUCCGGCUAACUCCGUGCCAGCAGCCGCGGUAAUACGGAGGGAGCUAGCGUUGUUCGGAAUUACUGGGCGUAAAGCGCACGUAGGCGGCUAUUCAAGUCGGGGGUGAAAGCCCGGGGCUCAACCCCGGAACUGCCCUCGAAACUAGAUAGCUAGAAUCUUGGAGAGGCGAGUGGAAUUCCGAGUGUAGAGGUGAAAUUCGUAGA
RNAcentral lists this ribosomal RNA (557 nucleotides) under uncultured Novosphingobium sp. RNAcentral's name for it is "bacterial SSU rRNA". It matches the Rfam family "Bacterial small subunit ribosomal RNA", at positions 102 to 694 of the family's 1533-position model. The record is from RNAcentral. Lineage: Bacteria; Pseudomonadati; Pseudomonadota; Alphaproteobacteria; Sphingomonadales; Sphingomonadaceae.